GUGGGGAAUCUUGCGCAAUGGGCGAAAGCCUGACGCAGCCAUGCCGCGUGAAUGAUGAAGGUCUUAGGAUUGUAAAAUUCUUUCACCGGGGACGAUAAUGACGGUACCCGGAGAAGAAGCUCCGGCUAACUUCGUGCCAGCAGCCGCGGUAAUACGAAGGGGGCUAGCGUUGCUCGGAAUUACUGGGCGUAAAGGGCGCGUAGGCGGCCAGCUUAGGCAGAGGCGAAAGCCCAGGGCUCAACCUUGGAAUUGCCUUUGAUACUGGCUGUCUUGAGUUUGGGAGAGGUGAGUGGAACUCCGAGUGUAGAGGUGAAAUUCGUAGAUAUUCGGAAGAACACCAGUGACGAAGGCGACUCACUGGCCCAAUACUGACGCUGAGGCGCGAAAGCGUGGGGAGCAAACAGGAUUAGAUACCCGGGUAGUCC
RNAcentral lists this ribosomal RNA (425 nucleotides) under uncultured bacterium. Its description in RNAcentral is "partial 16S ribosomal RNA". It matches the Rfam family "Bacterial small subunit ribosomal RNA", at positions 354 to 796 of the family's 1533-position model. The record is from RNAcentral.